This 387-nucleotide unclassified non-coding RNA is filed under the name Hevea brasiliensis (rubber tree). Lineage: Eukaryota; Viridiplantae; Streptophyta; Magnoliopsida; Malpighiales; Euphorbiaceae. The record is from RNAcentral.
UGCUGGUGGCAUUGGCAGUAUAUGAUUUGGUGGCAGUUUUGGCACCUGGUGGGCCACUUAAGCUGCUGGUGGAAUUGGCCCAGACUCGAGAUGAGGAACUUCCAGCACUGGUUUAUGAGGCUCGGCCAGCAGUUUCACAAAAUAUGAAUAAUCAUGGUCGGAGUUUGGACCUUUUGAUUGGUGGAGUUUCAGAUUCAGGGUUGGUGGAAAUGCAAGCAAUGUCAGAUCACAAUGUGAAUCGAAAUGAGAGUGAAAAUUUUGUGAACUCUGAAUAUUCUGCCAUUCCGGUGAGGAAUUUUGGGAAUAUGGAAGGUGUAGGAAAUAGAGAUGAUACAGAGAGGUCCCCAUUAGUUGGUUUUUCUCGGGGAAGGCAUUCUUCAAGUAGUG